UCGAACGCUUCUUUUUCCACCGGAGCUUGCUCCACCGGAAAAAGAGGAGUGGCGAACGGGUGAGUAACACGUGGGUAACCUGCCCAUCAGAAGGGGAUAACACUUGGAAACAGGUGCUAAUACCGUAUAACAAUCAAAACCGCAUGGUUUUGAUUUGAAAGGCGCUUUCGGGUGUCGCUGAUGGAUGGACCCGCGGUGCAUUAGCUAGUUGGUGAGGUAACGGCUCACCAAGGCCACGAUGCAUAGCCGACCUGAGAGGGUGAUCGGCCACAUUGGGACUGAGACACGGCCCAAACUCCUACGGGAGGCAGCAGUAGGGAAUCUUCGGCAAUGGACGAAAGUCUGACCGAGCAACGCCGCGUGAGUGAAGAAGGUUUUCGGAUCGUAAAACUCUGUUGUUAGAGAAGAACAAGGAUGAGAGUAACUGUUCAUCCCUUGACGGUAUCUAACCAGAAAGCCACGGCUAACUACGUGCCAGCAGCCGCGGUAAUACGUAGGUGGCAAGCGUUGUCCGGAUUUAUUGGGCGUAAAGCGAGCGCAGGCGGUUUCUUAAGUCUGAUGUGAAAGCCCCCGGCUCAACCGGGGAGGGUCAUUGGAAACUGGGAGACUUGAGUGCAGAAGAGGAGAGUGGAAUUCCAUGUGUAGCGGUGAAAUGCGUAGAUAUAUGGAGGAACACCAGUGGCGAAGGCGGCUCUCUGGUCUGUAACUGACGCUGAGGCUCGAAAGCGUGGGGAGCA
Molecule: ribosomal RNA, 737 nt
Filed under: uncultured Bacilli bacterium
Lineage: Bacteria; Bacillati; Bacillota; Bacilli
Description: bacterial SSU rRNA
Rfam family: Bacterial small subunit ribosomal RNA
Source: RNAcentral